CUAUUAUUGCAGAUUGUUUAAGAGUUCGGUGUUAUUUUCAGAUUUUCUAAUCUUUUAUUUAUAUUUCUCCCUUUCAGAUAUUAGUAAACACUCGGUCUCUGGGCAUAAAGAUUGUAACCAAAAUGUUGCUCAAGGCCGGUUUUUGGACAACACGGAUUUUGGCACAAGGAAUACUUCUGGUUGGCGCUGGACGGACAUGUCACACACACAGGACGAAAUUUGCUGCCGUUCCAUUAGCCGGGUUACUUGGCUUGGCUUAAACCCUGUCAUGGACACAAUUAUUUCCGCCAGGGAAUUCAACAUAAAUUGGCUGACCUCCUCCGUUCAUAGACUCGGAGGGGUCAGAGAUGGUUUUAACGGUUGGUGUAAAUGUUGGCGUUGCUUUAACUUGUUCGCACAACCGCAUUCACACACAACAAUAAAACACAAGUGUUAAUUACACACAAAAACAAAAUUUAAUUAAAUGUUUUUUGGGAGAUUCUCUUCAAAUUUCUGGUAUAGUGAAAUAAACAAAAUGUCUCCUUUGCUGAACACCAAACAAACUGCCCCGAUUUUCCCCCGUUAUGCCUUUUAUAUGGCCGCAGCCAUUUACAAUUUUCCGGGAUUCUCGCGCAAUUUUCCUGAUUCAUCACAUUACCUUUGUCGUGCCUACUGAGCCCUACAUCAGAGUUGUAUUUCUCUGGUUUAUAUGUUUUCCACCGGUUGGCAACACUGAUUUCUUCAACCUCUGCGACGAGCUUAACAUAUCCGGUUCAUUUUUCCCUGACCGGCAGCAAGCAAACAUCUCAUGUCGGGGACUUGCUGUUAAUUAUUUAUUCUUUUUUUUU
Molecule: long non-coding RNA, 827 nt
Organism: Musca domestica (house fly)
Lineage: Eukaryota; Metazoa; Arthropoda; Insecta; Diptera; Muscidae
Exons: 2
Source: RefSeq, a predicted model, not a curated record